GAACGGUAGCACAGAGAGCUUGCUCUCGGGUGACGAGUGGCGGACGGGUGAGUAAUGUCUGGGAAACUGCCCGAUGGAGGGGGAUAACUACUGGAAACGGUAGCUAAUACCGCAUAACGUCUUCGGACCAAAGUGGGGGACCUUCGGGCCUCACACCAUCGGAUGUGCCCAGAUGGGAUUAGCUAGUAGGUGGGGUAAUGGCUCACCUAGGCGACGAUCCCUAGCUGGUCUGAGAGGAUGACCAGCCACACUGGAACUGAGACACGGUCCAGACUCCUACGGGAGGCAGCAGUGGGGAAUAUUGCACAAUGGGCGCAAGCCUGAUGCAGCCAUGCCGCGUGUAUGAAGAAGGCCUUCGGGUUGUAAAGUACUUUCAGCGGGGAGGAAGGCGAUGAGGUUAAUAACCUUAUUGAUUGACGUUACCCGCAGAAGAAGCACCGGCUAACUCUGUG
Molecule: ribosomal RNA, 452 nt
Filed under: uncultured bacterium
Lineage: Bacteria
Description: bacterial SSU rRNA
Rfam family: Bacterial small subunit ribosomal RNA
Source: RNAcentral